Molecule: long non-coding RNA, 138 nt
Organism: Molossus molossus (Pallas's mastiff bat)
Lineage: Eukaryota; Metazoa; Chordata; Mammalia; Chiroptera; Molossidae
Exons: 3
Source: RefSeq, a predicted model, not a curated record
CCCACACGUGUGGGAGUUUAGUGAGACUCAAAGCAAGUACAAGUCGCAGAACCUAUCAACAUUAAGUGAGGACUUACUGUACUAACGCAGAGCCUGACUCAUAACAGCUCAUCAGGUGAUACCAAGAUGAGGCUCAUG